GUGGGGAAUAUUGGACAAUGGGGGCAACCCUGAUCCAGCGACGCCGCGUGAGUGAAGAAGUAUUUCGGUAUGUAAAGCUCUAUCAGCAGGGAAGAAAGAGAACGUAAGUUCUCGUGACGGUACCUGACUAAGAAGCCCCGGCUAACUACGUGCCAGCAGCCGCGGUAAUACGUAGGGGGCAAGCGUUAUCCGGAUUUACUGGGUGUAAAGGGAGCGUAGGUGGCUCGAUAAGUCAGAAGUGAAAGCCCAGGGCUCAACCCUGGGACUGCUUUUGAAACUAUUGUGCUAGAGUGCAGGAGAGGUAAGUGGAAUUCCUAGUGUAGCGGUGAAAUGCGUAGAUAUUAGGAGGAACACCAGUGGCGAAGGCGGCUUACUGGACUGUAACUGACACUGAGGCUCGAAAGCGUGGGGAGCAAACAGGAUUAGAAACCCUAGUAGUCC
Molecule: ribosomal RNA, 441 nt
Filed under: uncultured bacterium
Lineage: Bacteria
Description: bacterial SSU rRNA
Rfam family: Bacterial small subunit ribosomal RNA
Source: RNAcentral